GAUGAACGCUAGCGGCAGGCUUAACACAUGCAAGUCGAGCGGAAACAUGAGUAGCAAUACUUGAUGACGAGUGGCGCACGGGUGCGUAACGCGUAUGCAACUUACCUCUAACUGGAGAAUAGCCUUCCGAAAGGAAGAAUAAUACUCCAUAAUAUUACGAUGUGGCAUCACAUUGUUCUUAAAGCUUCGGCGGUUAGAGAUGGGCAUGCGUCUGAUUAGCUUGUUGGUGAGGUAACGGCUCACCAAGGCAACGAUCAGUAGGGGGCCUGAGAGGGUUAUCCCCCACACUGGUACUGAGACACGGACCAGACUCCUACGGGAGGCAGCAGUGAGGAAUAUUGGUCAAUGGACGAAAGUCUGAACCAGCCAUGCCGCGUGCAGGAUGAAUGCCCUAUGGGUUGUAAACUGCUUUUUAUAUAGGAAUAAACCCCUUUACGUGUAAAGGGCUGAAGGUACUAUAAGAAUAAGGACCGGCUAACUCCGUAG
Molecule: ribosomal RNA, 486 nt
Filed under: uncultured bacterium
Lineage: Bacteria
Description: bacterial SSU rRNA
Rfam family: Bacterial small subunit ribosomal RNA
Source: RNAcentral